RNAcentral lists this ribosomal RNA (305 nucleotides) under uncultured bacterium. RNAcentral's name for it is "bacterial SSU rRNA". It matches the Rfam family "Bacterial small subunit ribosomal RNA", at positions 338 to 657 of the family's 1533-position model. The record is from RNAcentral.
CCUACGGGGGGCAGCAGUGGGGAAUAUUGCACAAUGGGCGCAAGCCUGAUGCAGCAACGCCGCGUGAGCGAAGAAGGUCUUCGGAUCGUAAAGCUCUGUCCUUGAGGAAGAAGGAAGUGACGGUACUCAAGGAGGAAGCCCCGGCUAACUACGUGCCAGCAGCCGCGGUAAUACGUAUGGGGCAAGCGUUAUCCGGAUUUACUGGGUGUAAAGGGAGCGUAGGCGGCAGGGCAAGCCUGAUGUGAAAGCCCGGGGCUCAACCCCGGGACUGCAUUGGGACCUGCCCCGCUCGAGUGCCGGAGGGG